GCAGCCUGGAAACAUAAUCAAAUGAUCAAAUAAGCGUUUUAGGCCAGGGCUCAACCCAGCAAUCUGUGAGCACAUGUGAAUUGAGGAAGUAUCAUUCCUACUGAACAAAUAUUUAUCUUGUCACAUCUACCCAAAGAACAAUAGUGCCUAUAGGUUAUAGCAUUUUACAGGUUGCAAUUGAUUGUAAUUAAUUCCACCAAGUAAUAACGUAACUACAUUUUAAUUAAGAAUGAAAAACAAAAGUCUACAACUACCGUAAAAAUGUUACAUUAAACCCAUUUUAUGAACCGCUUUAGUGUUACUUGUAGCCUUAUAUGAAUUGUUCAGCAGGAGAAGGCAAGAAGCAUUGCAAAAUAUAGCAAUUUGUAUGGAGAUUUACAACAGUGUAAGCAAUCAACUGUUCUCACCAGAACUUUGCCAGUCGAAAACCUAAAAGCAAAGUAGUCAAUCUGAAAUGCUAAGAUUCUUAAGAGUGCAUUGAUGAUUUUCAUAUUUAUACUUCUAAUUUUAUGGUAAUAUAAUAUUGGAAGAAAUAUUCAAGAUUUCCAUCAUAUUUAGGAUAGGGAAACAGUCAUCAAAAAAUAAAAAACAAUUAGAUACCAACCCAAAAUUAAACUCAUUGAAUAUAGUGGAAUCAGGACAGAAGUUUGAGGCUGGAGAUGAUGAACGGUUAUUUGGGUUUGUUUUUUUUUUU
This 694-nucleotide unclassified non-coding RNA is filed under the name Hevea brasiliensis (rubber tree). The record is from RNAcentral. Lineage: Eukaryota; Viridiplantae; Streptophyta; Magnoliopsida; Malpighiales; Euphorbiaceae.